This is a non-coding RNA of Dallia pectoralis (Alaska blackfish), 76 nucleotides long. The record is from the annotation of a GenBank genome assembly. NCBI's taxonomy places the organism in Eukaryota, Metazoa, Chordata, Actinopteri, Esociformes, Umbridae.
AAAUUGGUAGCUCAGUGGUAAAGUUCAUGCUUUGAACGUAUGUAUGAUUUCCUGGGUUCAAUGCCCAGCUUCUUCC